This 2282-nucleotide ribosomal RNA is filed under the name Salmonella enterica subsp. enterica serovar Typhimurium. Its description in RNAcentral is "partial 23S ribosomal RNA". It matches the Rfam family "Bacterial large subunit ribosomal RNA". Lineage: Bacteria; Pseudomonadati; Pseudomonadota; Gammaproteobacteria; Enterobacterales; Enterobacteriaceae. The record is from RNAcentral.
UGAACUCCACAUCCGCAUCCUUUGCUGAGGAUACGGUUAACGGAGCGAAAGCGACGUUCAACCGCAAAACAAGCAGAGGGGGCUUAGUGGUGGGGUGACUGCGUACCUUUUGUAUAAUGGGUCAGCGACUUAUAUUCUGUAGCAAGGUUAACCGUAUAGGGGAGCCGGAGGGAAACCGAGUCUUAAUUGGGCGUUAAGUUGCAGGGUAUAGACCCGAAACCCGGUGAUCUAGCCAUGGGCAGGUUGAAGGUUGGGUAACACUAACUGGAGGACCGAACCGACUAAUGUUGAAAAAUUAGCGGAUGACCUGUGGCUGGGGGUGAAAGGCCAAUCAAACCGGGAGAUAGCUGGUUCUCCCCGAAAGCUAUUUAGGUAGCGCCUCGUGAAUUCAUCUCCGGGGGUAGAGCACUGUUUCGGCUAGGGGGCCAUCCCGGCUUACCAACCCGAUGCAAACUGCGAAUACCGGAGAAUGUUAUCACGGGAGACACACGGCGGGUGCUAACGUCCGUCGUGAAGAGGGAAACAACCCAGACCGCCAGCUAAGGUCCCAAAGUCAUGGUUAAGUGGGAAACGAUGUGGGAAGGCCCAGACAGCCAGGAUGUUGGCUUAGAAGCAGCCAUCAUUUAAAGAAAGCGUAAUAGCUCACUGGUCGAGUCGGCCUGCGCGGAAGAUGUAACGGGGCUAAACCAUGCACCGAAGCUGCGGCAGCGANNUGCUGGAGGUAUCAGAAGUGCGAAUGCUGACAUAAGUAACGAUAAAGCGGGUGAAAAGCCCGCUCGCCGGAAGACCAAGGGUUCCUGUCCAACGUUAAUCGGGGCAGGGUGAGUCGACCCCUAAGGCGAGGCCGAAAGGCGUAGUCGAUGGGAAACGGGUUAAUAUUCCCGUACUUGGUGUUACUGCGAAGGGGGGACGGAGAAGGCUAUGUUGGCCGGGCGACGGUUGUCCCGGUUUAAGCGUGUAGGUGUGUGUUCCAGGUAAAUCCGGUUCACUUUAACACUGAGGCGUGACGACGAGGCACUACGGUGCUGAAGCAACAAAUGCCCUGCUUCCAGGAAAAGCCUCUAAGCAUCAGGUAACAUCAAAUCGUACCCCAAACCGACACAGGUGGUCAGGUAGAGAAUACCAAGGCGCUUGAGAGAACUCGGGUGAAGGAACUAGGCAAAAUGGUGCCGUAACUUCGGGAGAAGGCACGCUGACACGUAGGUGAAGUGAUUUACUCAUGGAGCUGAAGUCAGUCGAAGAUACCAGCUGGCUGCAACUGUUUAUUAAAAACACAGCACUGUGCAAACACGAAAGUGGACGUAUACGGUGUGACGCCUGCCCGGUGCCGGAAGGUUAAUUGAUGGGGUCAGCGCAAGCGAAGCUCCUGAUCGAAGCCCCGGUAAACGGCGGCCGUAACUAUAACGGUCCUAAGGUAGCGAAAUUCCUUGUCGGGUAAGUUCCGACCUGCACGAAUGGCGUAAUGAUGGCCAGGCUGUCUCCACCCGAGACUCAGUGAAAUUGAACUCGCUGUGAAGAUGCAGUGUACCCGCGGCAAGACGGAAAGACCCCGUGAACCUUUACUAUAGCUUGACACUGAACAUUGAGCCUUGAUGUGUAGGAUAGGUGGGAGGCUUUGAAGUGUGGACGCCAGUCUGCAUGGAGCCGACCUUGAAAUACCACCCUUUAAUGUUUGAUGUUCUAACGUGGACCCGUAAUCCGGGUUGCGGACAGUGUCUGGUGGGUAGUUUGACUGGGGCGGUCUCCUCCUAAAGAGUAACGGAGGAGCACGAAGGUUGGCUAAUCCUGGUCGGACAUCAGGAGGUUAGUGCAAUGGCAUAAGCCAGCUUGACUGCGAGCGUGACGGCGCGAGCAGGUGCGAAAGCAGGUCAUAGUGAUCCGGUGGUUCUGAAUGGAAGGGCCAUCGCUCAACGGAUAAAAGGUACUCCGGGGAUAACAGGCUGAUACCGCCCAAGAGUUCAUAUCGACGGCGGUGUUUGGCACCUCGAUGUCGGCUCAUCACAUCCUGGGGCUGAAGUAGGUCCCAAGGGUAUGGCUGUUCGCCAUUUAAAGUGGUACGCGAGCUGGGUUUAGAACGUCGUGAGACAGUUCGGUCCCUAUCUGCCGUGGGCGCUGGAGAACUGAGGGGGGCUGCUCCUAGUACGAGAGGACCGGAGUGGACGCAUCACUGGUGUUCGGGUUGUCAUGCCAAUGGCACUGCCCGGUAGCUAAAUGCGGAAGAGAUAAGUGCUGAAAGCAUCUAAGCACGAAACUUGCCCCGAGAUGAGUUCUCCCUGAGACUU